This 253-nucleotide ribosomal RNA is filed under the name uncultured bacterium. Its description in RNAcentral is "partial 16S ribosomal RNA". It matches the Rfam family "Bacterial small subunit ribosomal RNA", at positions 524 to 776 of the family's 1533-position model. The record is from RNAcentral.
UACGUAGGGGGCGAGCGUUGUCCGGAUUUAUUGGGCGUAAAGAGCGUGUAGGCGGCCAGGUAGGUCCGUUGUGAAAACUCGAGGCUCAACCUCGAGACGUCGAUGGAAACCAUCUGGCUAGAGUCCGGAAGAGGAGAGUGGAAUUCCUGGUGUAGCGGUGAAAUGCGCAGAUAUCAGGAGGAACACCAAUAGCGAAGGCAGCUCGCUGGGACGGUACUGACGCUAAGGCGCGAAAGCGUGGGGAGCGAACAGG